RNAcentral lists this unclassified non-coding RNA (402 nucleotides) under Hevea brasiliensis (rubber tree). Lineage: Eukaryota; Viridiplantae; Streptophyta; Magnoliopsida; Malpighiales; Euphorbiaceae. The record is from RNAcentral.
GGAGUAGAGAAUUGCUUGUGCUUCCCAUAGCCAAAUUGAUAUUCAGUUCACAAAAUUAUUCUUAUUUGCUUGUAAGUAUAAAGAUAGAGAGAGAGAGAGAGAGUCCAGGAGCUGAACAAUCUUGUUGUUGUCCCUCCACAUAUGUACAUAUAUGUACAAGUAUUGUUACAUAAAAACACUUGAAAUUGAACAUAAUUACAGAAGGAUGCCAUUGAUGAUGAUGAUGCAAGGUAGUCCAUGACACGUAAGCCAAAUAGAUUGACCAAACUACCCUGGAAACAUUAUUGGAAUUUUCUAGGUUUUUGGGUAUAUAAACCUGACAUGUGGAGUGUCUGUUUGUUGCAACAUGGAAUUGUUUAUGAGUUUUGAUUUGUGGGUUUUGCUUUUAAGGUCUAAAAGAAA